This is a long non-coding RNA of Ipomoea nil (Japanese morning glory), 1404 nucleotides long. RefSeq lists it as uncharacterized. Lineage: Eukaryota; Viridiplantae; Streptophyta; Magnoliopsida; Solanales; Convolvulaceae. The record is from RefSeq and is a predicted model, not a curated record. The transcript has 5 exons.
GCUGCUUCUGUGACUUCCACCGUCGGCAGCUGGUCAACAGAACUGUAUUUAUUUGAACAUAGCUGGCAUAAAUCGGGAACAUUGAUAUGUUUGGUUCUCAGCCGAUCACAAGUAGGAAGAGAGGAGGAACAAAGCUGCCAAAAGAAAGUCUUUAGCUUUGGAGGGAGUUUGAAUUUCCAGAAUCUGGUCCAAAUUGGGACUUGGACAGAACUGAAAUCACCUGCAAGAGUAUUAUAGCAACUACGCACAGUGUUGGAUAAGGGCAGCAACUUUAGUGAUUCCAGAUUGAAUGGGUGCAAGGGGCUGAAUGAAUGGUUGGUUCUUGUUUGGCAUAGAUGUCAACCUUUAUGCAUUGGUGUUUGAUGAAUCUGUUUUAAAUGAUGCAGUAAGUGAGGAGUUUGGUAAUUCUCUUUGCUAAUUAGCUUCUUUUUUUAAAAAAAUGUUUUUGUGUUGCACAACUGGAAGAUGGAAAUUUCUCUAUACAGGUCAGUUUAGUUGAAAUGCUUUUCUAAUUAGACUAAUGUAGGAGAUCUGGCCAAAGUGGUUAGAGAUACGCAGUUAUCUAUUUAUUUGUGCAUAUUUUUUGAAAUGUAGGAGAUCUCCUCGGUCCUCUCCUAGUAACCAGGACAGAGCUGGACCAUCUGAUUUUCAGUAUUUCUCUGAAUCCUUAAGUAGUUUAGAUGGUGAUCUUGAAAGAGUGAAAACUGGAUUUAGAAAAAAGAAGAAAUGGCAUGCUUCAGAUGAUGAUUUUUCCUCAGGUUCAGCUUAGGCCUGCAGACAGUGUAGAGAAGGCUUCUAAAACUGCUGAGAUAAACCCGAGGAAAAUCAAGAUGAGGAGACUAGAAAAGUAAAUCCAAGAGAACUCAACCCAUAUUUGAAGGAUAAACGCUUUAAAGCGAGUUAAAGAGCAAGCUGCUCUCGAAGGACGAAAGUUGGAUGAGGUAGUUGAAGAAUUGUGGGGUUCAUUGAGUCAACUAGCUGUUUCUGUUGCAUCCCGCAAAGUUGCCCCAAACCAUGCUCAUCUUCAUGCCAUCAAAAGUAGAAGGGGUGUAAUGGGAGAGUGAUCUGUUGAGAAGGUAAUUCUCUAAAUUAACUACUUUAGUCACCUUAAUUCUAUGUCAUAUGUGUGUUUUGUCUUAAUGUAUUCUAAUGUUUUAUUGAUUCUUGUUUCUUCCAACUCCCAUACUUCGUAUAAGCAUUGUCCUUAAAAUCUCUAGAUUCAAUUUUUUUUUAAUAAAUAAUUGUUGACUCUGGGUUGUUUGAUUGGAAGUUUUCUAACUUUAAUGACUUUCUAUACUAUGAGGAUUAUUGGGUUUUUGUCUUGUGACCUUAAAAUAGUUGAAUUUUGAUGGGUGUCUAAGUUUUCAAUCUGUAUUAGGCUGGUUUGGUGCACAGCGUUCAUUU